UAUGGAAAAAUAUAUUUCAUCUAAUUUGAAAAAAUAAGGAAACAGUGCUUUGCUUUCCCUAGCCUUCCUUCUCAUUUACUGUAAGAUAAUAAUUUUUCUUUUUCAGGGUUCGUUUCAAUUUUUUGCAAAGGAUUUAGCAAUGAAACACUAAAAUCUCAGGCAUUUUCAUUAAGCUCAUUUUUUACUUUCCUCAUAUAUAGCCUAUAUGCUUUAUUUAAUCU
Molecule: long non-coding RNA, 221 nt
Filed under: Homo sapiens (human)
Lineage: Eukaryota; Metazoa; Chordata; Mammalia; Primates; Hominidae
Description: HSALNT0042122
Source: RNAcentral